CGAGGGUGAGUAAUGUCUGGGAAACUGCCUGAUGGAGGGGGAUAACUACUGGAAACGGUAGCUAAUACCGCAUAACGUCGCAAGACCAAAGAGGGGGACCUUCGGGCCUCUUGCCAUCGGAUGUGCCCAGAUGGGAUUAGCUAGUAGGUGGGGUAACGGCUCACCUAGGCGACGAUCCCUAGCUGGUCUGAGAGGAUGACCAGCCACACUGGAACUGAGACACGGUCCAG
This 230-nucleotide ribosomal RNA is filed under the name uncultured bacterium. RNAcentral describes it as "partial 16S ribosomal RNA". It matches the Rfam family "Bacterial small subunit ribosomal RNA", at positions 104 to 334 of the family's 1533-position model. The record is from RNAcentral.